GCCGACGUGCGACACCCGCCGGCAGGUCCAGCCCCAGUCAUCUGGAGACAUUGAUAUGACCUGGAGGUAGGAGGGAGUAUCCUGGAGGAACCUGCAGACGUCUGGUCCACGACCAGAGAGCGGAUGAACCCCUUGACCGGCUCCCUGAUGAGGAGGGAAUACAUCCCGGUGCUGUGAGAAUCAACAGGAGCUCAUCACCGCGUCAGUAAACAGAGCCGGGCGCUCGAAUAGAGCCCGAUGUGUAAACCUUGUGCACUAAAUAAAAUUCAGAGCUCGUGGCGGCGUGACGAGCAGAGCGACAGAGACGGAAAAUGAUGGAGACACAGAGCGAUGGAGACGCCAAUCAUCGGCCUCGUUCAGAUUCGCUCCUACACGAGGAAGCCAGCCAGCCAGCCAGCCAGCCAUCCAUCCAUAAUGCAUCACGCGUCGCCUAGCAACAGCCGGGAACCUAGCAACAGGAUCUUAGCAACAGCAACAAAACCGCUGGCUGCCUCGCUCCGUCCGCCAGGGCCAAUGGAGGAGCGACGUUUCAGACCCAAAGGACCGCUUUACAGAGCGGUUGGCAUGGCAACAUAACGGACUAAAGUGAAACUUGGACGCUGGACUGGACGCUUGAACAUGCAGCAACAAGUACAUAAAAUUACAGAGACCAUGCUUGGAAAUAAAUAAAUAAAUAAAUAAAUAGUUCGGCCCAAGUCCCACCUGCUAACAUGGAGGAGA
Mugil cephalus (flathead mullet) is the source of this 720-nucleotide long non-coding RNA. RefSeq lists it as uncharacterized. Lineage: Eukaryota; Metazoa; Chordata; Actinopteri; Mugiliformes; Mugilidae. The transcript is spliced from 3 exons. The record is from RefSeq and is a predicted model, not a curated record.